Esox lucius (northern pike) is the source of this 490-nucleotide long non-coding RNA. Lineage: Eukaryota; Metazoa; Chordata; Actinopteri; Esociformes; Esocidae. The record is from Ensembl.
GGGAUGGCCAGGUAGUGUUAUACAAGAUGGUACUGUAUAAAAUUGAGUGUCCGAGGUUGUUCUGCAGACCAACUCGGCUUUUUUGAAUCUUCAUUAAAGUCUAUUUUGGAUUCUCAAGUUCCUGAGUCUUUGCAUGCUUUUUUGCCAGGAAAUCUGAAGUGUUUUCCACGACAUAAUCUUGGCAUUGUCGGCAGAAUUGGCAUCGGGCUGGCUGGCUGUCAGCUGCAGAAGGCGCCGUGGGUCGGGUCGCACAAACAACACGUGGCCACAUUGAGAGGGCCAACCGUGGGAGUUGAGGAGGCAGGCAGGAUUCGUGAUACCGGCUCGACGGCCCGAGGGACUGCAUGGACGAAUCCACCGCGCCGGGUCACCCUCAGUAGGAGAAGAAGACUGCUGUGGGACAGGACCGGGCGGCUUUGAAUUUAGCUGUAUGAGUGUGCCCCGCGAGUACCGCCUCAGAUAUAGACUUUGGGGGACAGCACGGGUGGGG